Molecule: long non-coding RNA, 1105 nt
Filed under: Triticum aestivum (bread wheat)
Lineage: Eukaryota; Viridiplantae; Streptophyta; Magnoliopsida; Poales; Poaceae
Description: long non-coding RNA (TAES_LNC024141)
Source: RNAcentral
UGAAGAGCUUCCAAAGGAAUACCGUGAUAGGUGUCAGGUAUUCAUGUUCUGUUCUUGGUUUCAUUAUUUUCAUCCGCUGUAGUAUUUAUAUUGUGCUGCAUCAUUCAUACAGGAUAUUCUUUGUAAUGAUCGCGAAAGAAAAGGUAGAUCUCAAUUUCAUUGGUAAAAUCUGGUAAUGCAAAUCCCCCUCUGCCUCCUCAGUUCAGAGUCAUCGUUCUAUAUUAGUGGAUAUGAAAAACAAUUCUAACUAUCCUUGCUCGAAAUUGGUUGGUGGUGUCCAAUGCAGACUAAAAAAAUUGAGUUGAUUUUGCUUUCCACAAUAUGUUCAUCUCAGCCACAAGGUAGAGAGAGAUCACCAGAUAACAAAUCUUUUAGUAAAAAGUAAAUUACAGCCAUCGCUGAACCAUAGGUUUGCAAGUUUCUUGGAUCGAGACUUGACAAACACGUACUCCCUCCGUCCCAAAAUAGAUGACUCUACUAAAGUUAGUACAAAGUUGAGUCAUCUAUUUUGGGACGGAGGGAGUAAUUAAUUAGACAGCUGGCCUACUAAACGAGGAACCAAUAUCGCUGAGAUUCAACAUUCAGGAAAGUAUUACAUAUGGAAAAUCCUCUACAACAGAGGAGACUGUUAGAAUUGUUUUUGAUGGUGUUUAUUUGAAUUUUGUCAGUGUGAAUACUGAAUCAGCAGGAAACCUUCGAGAGAUGUCAGUGCAACAUUCCUUAUGCAACUGCUACUGCAAUUGAUUCCUUUCCAAGCGCCUUCUAUAGAGCUUCGCAGCAUCUAUCUUCUUGAAUUUACAUGGAUUCGAUUUAGUUACUUUACCUGUAAUAAGCAGCAUCAUGCUCAUUGUUGAAUAGUUUCUCUCAAAUAAUUUCCAUUUUAUAGGAUUUGCUAUGAACUGACAACUUUAAAUCUUUGCUUCUUUUCAUCAGAUCAUGUCUGAAGCACUAGAGUGUGGUUCAUGUGUAGAGGCUUUCACAUACUUCCAUGGGUAGAUUGUACUUUCAUGACGUAGGUGUUUAUUUAAUAUACUAAGUCAAGCAUCCUUGUCCCGAAAGAGUGUUAGAGGCAACAAUACUCCUCCCGCUGGACAGCCAACUCUAC